This 414-nucleotide ribosomal RNA is filed under the name uncultured Funneliformis. RNAcentral describes it as "partial 28S ribosomal RNA". The record is from RNAcentral. Lineage: Eukaryota; Fungi; Glomeromycota; Glomeromycetes; Glomerales; Glomeraceae.
GAGAGUUAAACAGUACGUGAAAUUGUUGAAAGGGAAACGAUUGAAGUCAGUCAUACCAACGGGAAAUCAACCUCUUGAGUUUGGUCUCGUGGGUUUCGAAGAGUUUAAAAGCCUUCGGAUUUUCGAGAUUGGGUUCUUCUGGUGUACUUUCUCGUACGGUUAGUCAACAUCGGUUUUGAAUGUCAUAAAAUGACUGGAGGAAUGUGGCUUCGAUCUCGUAUUAAAGUGUUAUAGCUUUUGGUAGAUGUGAUGUUCGAGACCGAGGAUUGCAACGGAUACCCUUCUGGGCUAUUCGUCUGAUCUCUGAAACGUUGCCUUGAUGUCGAAAGCUUGCUUAUGAUGUUAGGGUAUUACGAUCAAAAGGUUAGAACGGAUUAAAUUCGUUAAGGAUGUUGACGUAAUGACUUUAAACGA